GUGGGGAAUAUUGGACAAUGGGCGAAAGCCUGAUCCAGCCAUGCCGCGUGUGUGAAGAAGGUCUUCGGAUUGUAAAGCACUUUAAGUUGGGAGGAAGGGCAGUAAGUUAAUACCUUGCUGUUUUGACGUUACCGACAGAAUAAGCACCGACUAACUUCGUGCCAGCAGCCGCGGUAAUACGAAGGGUGCAAGCGUUAAUCGGAAUUACUGGGCGUAAAGCGCGCGUAGGUGGUUUUGUAAGUUGGAGGUGAAAUCCCCGGGCUCAACCUGGGAACUGCCUCCAAAACUGCAUGACUAGAGUACGGUAGAGGGUAGUGGAAUUUCCUGUGUAGCGGUGAAAUGCGUAGAUAUAGGAAGGAACACCAGUGGCGAAGGCGACUACCUGGACUGAUACUGACACUGAGGUGCGAAAGCGUGGGGAGCAAACAGGAUUAGAAACCCGUGUAGUCC
Molecule: ribosomal RNA, 450 nt
Filed under: uncultured bacterium
Lineage: Bacteria
Description: bacterial SSU rRNA
Rfam family: Bacterial small subunit ribosomal RNA
Source: RNAcentral